RNAcentral lists this transfer RNA (77 nucleotides) under Pseudoalteromonas prydzensis. RNAcentral's name for it is "tRNA-Val". It matches the Rfam family "tRNA". From Rfam's summary of the family: Transfer RNA (tRNA) molecules are approximately 80 nucleotides in length. Their secondary structure includes four short double-helical elements and three loops (D, anti-codon, and T loops). Further hydrogen bonds mediate the characteristic L-shaped molecular structure. tRNAs have two regions of fundamental functional importance: the anti-codon, which is responsible for specific mRNA codon recognition, and the 3' end, to which the tRNAs corresponding amino acid is attached (by aminoacyl-tRNA synthetases). tRNAs cope with the degeneracy of the genetic code in two manners: having more than one tRNA (with a specific anti-codon) for a particular amino acid; and 'wobble' base-pairing, i.e. permitting non-standard base-pairing at the 3rd anti-codon position. The record is from RNAcentral. Lineage: Bacteria; Pseudomonadati; Pseudomonadota; Gammaproteobacteria; Alteromonadales; Pseudoalteromonadaceae.
ACGACUGUAGCUCAGUUGGUUAGAGCACUACCUUGACAUGGUAGGGGUCGGUGGUUCGAAUCCACUCGGUCGUACCA